GUCAGAGUGACAGGCCCCAUAGAUUGAUAUAGGACCAUGCUGGUCAGUCAGAGUGACAGGGCCCAUUGACUGAUAUAGGACCAUGCUGGUAGGUCAGAGUGACAGGGCCCAUAGACUGAUAUAGGACCAUGCUGGUUGGUCAGAGUGACAGGCCCCAUAGACUGAUAUAGGAUCAUGCUGGUCGGUCAGAGUGACAGGGCCCAUAGACUGAUAUAGGACCAUGCUGGUAGGUCAGAGUGACAGGCCCCAUAGACUGAUAUAGGACCAUGCUGGUCAGUCAGAGUGACAGGCCCCAUAGACUGAUAUAGAACCAUGCUGGUAGGUCAGAGUGACAGGCCCCAUAGACUGAUAUAGGACCAUGCUGGUCAGUCAGAGUGACAGGGCCCAUUGACUGAUAUAGGACCAUGCUGGUAGGUCAGAGUGACAGGGCCCAUAGACUGAUAUAGGACCAUGCUGGUUGGUCAGAGUGACAGGCCCCAUAGACUGAUAUAGGAUCAUGUUGGUUGGUCAGAGUGACAGGGCCCAUAGACUGAUAAAGGACCAUGCUGGUAGGUCAGAGUGACAGGCCCCAUAAACUGCCUGGAGCACCAUGACUAGCUACCAUUACAACCAUGACUCAUUACCAUGAUAAGUAAAAUGAACUGCCAUGACUGUCAAGACUCACUACCAAGAUUCAGUUCCAUGACUGUCAAGACUCACUACCAAGAUUCAGUUCCAUGACUGUCAAGACUCACUACCAAGAUUCAGUUCCAUGACUGUCAAGACUCACUACCAAGUUUCAGUUCCAUGACUGUCAAGACUCACUACCAAGAUUCAGUUCCAUGACUGUCAAGACUCACUACCAAGAUUCAGUUCCAUGACUGUCAAGACUCUCUACCAAGAUUCAGUUCCAUGACUGUCAAGACUCACUACCAAGAUUCAGUUCCAUGACUGUCAAGACUCACUACCAAGAUUCAGUUCCAUGACUGUCAAGACUCACUACCAAGAUUCAGUUCCAUGACUGUCAAGACUCACCUCCAUAACAACCAUGACUAUCAUGUCUGACUACCAUGAUUACCCUGAAAACUAAAACUAACUACUAUGAAUAUCAUGUCUGACUACCAUGAUUACCCUGAAAACUAAAACUAAUUACCAUGACUAUCAUGUCUGAGUACCAUGAUUACCCUGAAAACUAAAACUAAUUACCAUGACUAUCAUGUCUGACUACCAUGAUUACCCUGAAAACUAAAACUAACUACUAUGACUAUCAUGUCUGAGUACCAUGAUUACCCUGAAAACUAAAACUAAUUACCAUGACUAUCAUGUCUGACUACCAUGAUUACCCUGAAAACUAGAACUAACUACCAUGACUUCUAAGACAAUCAGUGCUGUUGGUCACUACAGAGGUCACAAGACAGUGCUGAGCUGAGGAUUUGUUUAUUAUGUUCAACAGAGAUCACAAGCAGUGUUGAGGUGAGGAUGUGUCGGUUAUAUUCAACAGGUCAUGAGACAGUGUUGAGGUUAGGAUGUGUUGGUUAUAUUCAACAGGUCAUGAGACAGUGUUGAGGUGAGGAUGUGGUGGUUAUAUUCAACAGGUCAUGAGACAGUGUUGAGGUGAGGAUGUGUUGGUUAUAUUCAACAGAAUGUACAGGUACAGUUCAUUGUUAUACUUUAUAUCCAGAAAUCUUGGAUUUGUCACCUCCUGUUCUGUUUCGUUACUUUUCAUUUAGGCUACAGUAUGAGGCAAGACUGUUCCUAGACCACUUGUUUUCUGAGAAGCUUGUUUUUUACCUGAUUGAGUUGGCGAUAGUGUAAUCUGAAAAUUACACACUGGUUAUGACUUUCUCUCUUCUAGAGUAGCUCUUGGCUGUGGUCUAAAUUGUUGGUUAAAUCCUGGUCGUCAUGUAUCUUCCUGAUCACUGUAUUAUUCAUCUGUCUGUGCUGUGUUUCAUCUUUGUGCCAAAGUGACCCAAUGUAAUGCCCAUGUAUGGAAGUGUUUUUUACCAAAACGAAACAUCACAAAACACAGGAUCUGGGCUCCGGGUGAAGUUUCCCCUAGGUACACGUCUAGGAUCAGCUUCCCCCAGGUACAGAUCUAGGAUCAGCUUCCCCUAGGUACACAUCUAGGAUCAAAUUCCCCCAGGUACAGAUCUAGGAUCAGUUUCCCCUAGGUACACAUCUAGGGUCAAUUUCCCCCAGGUACAGAUCUAAGAUCAACUUCCCCCAGGUACAGAUCUAAGAUCAGCUUCCCCUGGGUACAGAUCUAGGAUUAGUUUUCCUUAGGUACACAUCUAGGGUCAAUUUCCCCCAGGUACAGAUCUAAGAUCAGCUUCCCCCAGGUACAAAUCUAGGAUCAAUUUCCCCCAGGUACAGAUCUGGGAUCAAUUUCCCCCAGUUACAGAUCUAGGAUCAAUUUCCCCCAGGUACAGGUCUGGGAUCAAUUUCCCCCAGGUACAGAUCUAGGAUCAAUUUCCCCCAGGUACAGGUCUAGGAUCAGCUUCCCCGAGGGACAGAUCUAGGAUCUGCUUCCCCUAGGUACAGAUCUACGAUCCGCUUCCCACAGGUACAGAUCUAGGAUCCGCUUCCCACAGGUACAGAUCUAGGAUUAAUUUCUCCCAGGUACAGAUCUAGGAUCAAUUUCCCCCAGAUACAGAUCUAGGAUCAAUUUCCCCCAGUUACAGAUCUAGAAUAAAUUUCCCCAAGGUACAGAUCUAGGAUCAGUUUCUCCUUCCCCAAUGCAUACCCAUGAUGAGCGUCCAGGGGGGACUUCACUCCAGACCAAGGAGCUUCAGCUGUGUGUAGCCUUGGGGGGGAUCCCAAC
This is a long non-coding RNA of Esox lucius (northern pike), 2800 nucleotides long. The record is from Ensembl. Lineage: Eukaryota; Metazoa; Chordata; Actinopteri; Esociformes; Esocidae.